GUAGUAACGGCGAGUGAACUGGGAAGAGUCCAGCGCUGAAUCGCGGCGCCUCUGGUGCCGCGAGGUGUAGCGUACAGACCGUGAGCAUGGGUUGGCCUGCCCGUUCAAGUUUCCCUUGACCGGGGCUCCAGAGAAGGUGCAAGACCUGUCCAACGGGCGGCAGCCAGUCCAUUUUCGCGUGUCUCGGAGUCGGGUUGUUUGGGAUCGCAGCCCAAAGCAGGUGGUAAACUUCAUCUAAGACUGAAUAUGACUACGAGUCCGAUAGCGAACAAGUACCGUGAGGGAAAGUUGCAAAGCACUUUGAAGAGAGAGUUAAAGAGGACGUGAAACCGAUGAGGUGGAAACGGACAGAGCUGGCGUAUCUGGCCUGUAUUCAGCCACGGGCCCGCCGGUGUCAGGGAUGCCGCUCUCCAGAUUGGGACGGUGGCCUGUCUGCUGGUGGGUUUGUGGUGCAUUUGCAGGUGGAGUGCGCCGAGGCGCUCGGGCACAGCGGCAUGAGCCCAGUUUUGAGGCCAGCCUCGCAAGAGGUCUGGUACCCGGACUGGGGGAGUGUUGUUUGGCCUGGGUGUACAAGUGGGGCAAUGGAAUCGGGCCCGGGUGGGUGCCGAGCUGGCAGUCGGCGUCGGUCGCAUGCGACACGUGCCAGCGGUCAGUUCGGUCCUGCUCGAGCUCACAUCUGCCCGUCCUCGGUGUAAAAGCCGGUCAUCUGUCCGACCCGUCUUGAAACACGGACCAAGGAGUUUAGCGUGUGCGCGAGUCAUUGGGCGUUAAAAACCCAAAGGCGCAAUGAAAGUGAAGGUCUCCCUUGCGGAGCUGAUGUGUGAUCCUGGUGCACUGCGGUGCCCGGGCGCAACAUAGUCCCGUCCCGACCGCAUGCGGUGGGGCGGAGACAGAGCGUACGCGCUGAGACCCGAAAGAUGGUGAACUAUUCCUGAGCAGGAUGAAGCCAGUGGAAACUCUGGUGGAAGUCCGAAGCGAUUCUGACGUGCAAAUCGAUCGUCUGACUUGGGUAUAGGGGCGAAAGACUAAUCGA
RNAcentral lists this ribosomal RNA (1033 nucleotides) under Rotylenchus goodeyi. Its description in RNAcentral is "partial large subunit ribosomal RNA". It matches the Rfam family "Eukaryotic large subunit ribosomal RNA", at positions 80 to 938 of the family's 3401-position model. Lineage: Eukaryota; Metazoa; Nematoda; Chromadorea; Rhabditida; Hoplolaimidae. The record is from RNAcentral.